AUUGAACGCUGGCGGCAGGCCUAACACAUGCAAGUCGAACGGUAACAGGAAGCAUCUUGCUGCUUUGCUGACGAGUGGCGGACGGGUGAGUAAUGUCUGGGAAACGGCCUGAUGGAGGGGGAUAACUACUGGAAACGGUAGCUAAUACCGCAUAACGUCGCAAGACCAAAGAGGGGGACCUUCGGGCCUCUUGCCAUCGGAUGUGCCCAGAUGGGAUUAGCUAGUAGGUGGGGUAACGGCUCACCUAGGCGACGAUCCCUAGCUGGUCUGAGAGGAUGACCAGCCACACUGGAACUGAGACACGGUCCCGACUCCUACGGGAGGCAGCAGUGGGGAAUAUUGCACAAUGGGCGCAAGCCUGAUGCAGCCAUGCCGCGUGUAUGAAGAAGGCCUUCGGGUUGUAAAGUACUUUCAGCGGGGAGGAAGGGAGUAAAGUUAAUACCUUUGCUCAUUGACGUUACCCGCAGAAGAAGCACCGGCUAACUCCGUG
RNAcentral lists this ribosomal RNA (490 nucleotides) under uncultured bacterium. Its description in RNAcentral is "partial 16S ribosomal RNA". It matches the Rfam family "Bacterial small subunit ribosomal RNA", at positions 30 to 507 of the family's 1533-position model. The record is from RNAcentral.